UGAUGUAAUAAUUUAUUAAAUAUUUCUAAAAGGAAAAAAGGGAAAAGUAAUAUUUAAUAAUAUAAUACAUUAAAUGGAGCGUCAGCUCUUCAGCACGUGAUUAAUUCUAGCCAAUGAGAGCUGGGACUGCUGGAACUCUGCAUAGUUAAUGAGCUGACAUUCCGGCUUCAACUGAUACCAUCCAGCUCCGCUCAACCAGUCCUGAUUGCAGAGUUAAGCUCCAGCCCCAAUCCUGUACUGUUGAAGCAGCUGAUCAAGGUCUUCAUGAUCACCACACACUUCAGACAGGUGUGUGGACAGGCUGGAGAUAAACUCUGCAGGAUGCUGGUCCUCCAGAACACCACUGAUUUUGUGUCAGAUGCAGAUAAAGAGUCACCAGGAACAGGUCACUACAUCUUUUGUCAUAUGCUGGAACGAAAAGUAGCCAGGUCACAGCAUCUAAAAUGGAGACUUCUAUUAAAGUGGCUCCGUAACGUAAGAGACUUGGACAGUGGAAGGAGCAGAAGAACCAAAAGAUCAGAGAUCAGGCAGAGCUCUACUGUUGCCUCUUAGGGGAUUGAUUUAUCUAUAAUUAUCUAUAAUAUCUACUUAAUGUUCUGAUGUAGUUAUAAUUGGUCAUUGUUCUGUUUUAUAAAUCUAUUCAAUACAUUCUAGUGUUCAAUAGUUCGGGGUCAGAAAGUAUUUUUUUUUCUUUAAGAUAUUACAUGUAUUCAGCAAGGGUGCAUUAAACUGAUAAAAAAAUGCUGCUCUUUUAAAAGCUCUAUUCAAAAUAACCUGAAAAAAAAUAUUACUGUUUCCAAAAAUGAAGCAGCACAACUGUUUUUGAGAUGAUAAAAAAAAAAAAAUUCAUUGAGCACCAAAACAGAAUAUUUGAAUAAUUUAUUUUGGAUUGUAUGACACAGAAGACUGGAGUCAUGCCUGCUGAAAAUUAAACUUAGUAAAACAGUUUUUUUUUUUUUUUUUGUUAAUUACAACAGUUAUUUAAAGUUGUAAUAUUUCAUAAUGUUACUGCUUUAACUGUAUUUCUUAUCAAAUAAAUGUAGUUUUGGUGAGCAUAAGAGACUUGUUUCAAAAACAUUUACAAAUCUUACCUAUCCUAAACUUUUGAACAGUGUUUUUCUGCAUUUUUUACAUGACCG
This is a long non-coding RNA of Cyprinus carpio carpio, 1139 nucleotides long. Lineage: Eukaryota; Metazoa; Chordata; Actinopteri; Cypriniformes; Cyprinidae. The record is from Ensembl.